This 938-nucleotide ribosomal RNA is filed under the name uncultured fungus. RNAcentral describes it as "eukaryotic LSU rRNA". The stretch from base 586 to 938 matches the Rfam family "Eukaryotic large subunit ribosomal RNA", at positions 1 to 348 of the family's 3401-position model. The record is from RNAcentral. Lineage: Eukaryota; Fungi.
UUCCGUAGGUGACCUGCGGAAGGAUCAUUAUUGAAUGAAUGUAGAGUCGGUUGUCGCUGGUCCUUUCGGGGACAUGUGCACGCCUUCUCUUUCAUCCACACACACCUGUGCACUCGUGAGACGGAAGCCCUCGGGCGUCCGUCUGCUCUACAUAAACUCAUAUCUAUAAUUUGAAUGUAAUUGAUGUAACACAUCUUUAAACUAAGUUUCAACAACGGAUCUCUUGGCUCUCGCAUCGAUGAAGAACGCAGCGAAAUGCGAUAAGUAAUGUGAAUUGCAGAAUUCAGUGAAUCAUCGAAUCUUUGAACGCACCUUGCGCUCCUUGGUAUUCCUUGGAGCAUGCCUGUUUGAGUAUCAUGAAAUUAUCAAAAUAAUUCUUUUGUUCAUUCAAUUGAAUUUUAUUUUGGACUUGGAGGUCUGCAGAUUCACGUCUGCUCCUUUUAAAUAUAUUAGCUGGAUCUCAGUGAGCUCGGUUCCACUCGGCGUGAUAAGUAUCACUCGCUGAGGACACUGUAAAAGGUGGCCGGGAUUGCGGAUGAACCGCUUCUAAUCGUCCAUUUACUUGGACAACAAUACUUUAUGAUCUGAUCUCAAAUCAGGUAGGACUACCCGCUGAACUUAAGCAUAUCAAUAAGCGGAGGAAAAGAAACUAACAAGGAUUCCCCUAGUAACGGCGAGUGAAGCGGGAAGAGCUCAAAUUUAAAAUCUGGCGGUGUACUCCGUCCGAGUUGUAGUCUAGAGAAGCAUCAUCCGUGCCGGACCAUGUACAAGUCUCUUGGAACAGAGCGUCAUAGAGGGUGAGAAUCCCGUCCUUGACAUGGACUCCCGGUGCUUUGUGUUGAGCUCUCAACGAGUCGAGUUGUUUGGGAAUGCAGCUCAAAAUGGGUGGUAAAUUCCAUCUAAAGCUAAAUAUUGGCGAGAGACCGAUAGCGAACAAG